Molecule: ribosomal RNA, 440 nt
Filed under: Staphylococcus aureus
Lineage: Bacteria; Bacillati; Bacillota; Bacilli; Caryophanales; Staphylococcaceae
Description: bacterial SSU rRNA
Rfam family: Bacterial small subunit ribosomal RNA
Source: RNAcentral
CAAGGCAACGAUGCAUAGCCGACCUGAGAGGGUGAUCGGCCACACUGGAACUGAGACACGGUCCAGACUCCUACGGGAGGCAGCAGUAGGGAAUCUUCCGCAAUGGGCGAAAGCCUGACGGAGCAACGCCGCGUGAGUGAUGAAGGUCUUCGGAUCGUAAAACUCUGUUAUUAGGGAAGAACAUAUGUGUAAGUAACUGUGCACAUCUUGACGGUACCUAAUCAGAAAGCCACGGCUAACUACGUGCCAGCAGCCGCGGUAAUACGUAGGUGGCAAGCGUUAUCCGGAAUUAUUGGGCGUAAAGCGCGCGUAGGCGGUUUUUUAAGUCUGAUGUGAAAGCCCACGGCUCAACCGUGGAGGGUCAUUGGAAACUGGAAAACUUGAGUGCAGAAGAGGAAAGUGGAAUUCCAUGUGUAGCGGUGAAAUGCGCAGAGAUAUGG